AUGAUAGUCAAUGUGGGCCCUCAACACCCAUCAAUGCAUGGUGUUCUUCGACUGAUCGUCACUCUCGAUGGUGAGGAUGUUAUUGAUUGUGAACCCAUAUUAGGCUAUUUACACAGAGGAAUGGAAAAAAUCACGGAAAACCGAACUAUUAUACAAUACUUACCUUAUGUAACAAGGAUAUAG
This 183-nucleotide ribosomal RNA is filed under the name Triticum aestivum (bread wheat). RNAcentral's name for it is "partial small subunit ribosomal RNA". Lineage: Eukaryota; Viridiplantae; Streptophyta; Magnoliopsida; Poales; Poaceae. The record is from RNAcentral.